UAGGGAAUCUUCCACAAUGGACGCAAGUCUGAUGGAGCAACGCCGCGUGAGUGAAGAAGGUUUUCGGAUCGUAAAGCUCUGUUGUUGGUGAAGAAGGAUAGAGGCAGUAACUGGUCUUUAUUUGACGGUAAUCAACCAGAAAGUCACGGCUAACUACGUGCCAGCAGCCGCGGUAAUACGUAGGUGGCAAGCGUUGUCCGGAUUUAUUGGGCGUAAAGCGAGCGCAGGCGGAAUGAUAAGUCUGAUGUGAAAGCCCACGGCUCAACCGUGUAACUGCAUCGGAAACUGUCAUUCUUGAGUGCAGAAGAGGAGAGUGGAAUUCCAUGUGUAGCGGUGGAAUGCGUAGAUAUAUGGAAGAACACCAGUGGCGAAGGCGGCUCUCUGGUCUGCAACUGACGCUGAGGCUCGAAAGCAUGGGUAGCGAACAGG
Molecule: ribosomal RNA, 429 nt
Filed under: bacterium
Lineage: Bacteria
Description: partial 16S ribosomal RNA
Rfam family: Bacterial small subunit ribosomal RNA
Source: RNAcentral